CGGAGCCAACCCAGGGACAUUUUCCUGGAGCGGCUGGGAAAGAGGAGUCUCUCGAAAUUCAGCAACUGCUAACAGCGAGGAGGGGUUUUGAAAGGUAAAGGCCAUUAGCUUGGAGGCAGAAGACAGACCUCCCUGACUGCUGAAUUCCUGCCGGCCUGAAAUUGGAGCAUUCCAAGCUCCUCAGAUGAGUCAUAAGCCACCAAGAUUGUGAGCCUCUGGAAACUUCAUCAUGAAAUGUUGGGGACCUGCCUCACCAGGUUGAUGUAAGGACCUCGUGGGAUGAAGCCAGCUCAGUGACCAUUCCAGAGAGGACACUCGACACAUGGUAACCAUCAUUAUGAUCAGUAGGGAUAUGUGGAAAUAGGAGUGAGGGUACAUGAGAUAUGGCAAGACCCAGGUUGACAAAUCUUUCCUACUAUUAUUAUUUUAAUUGUCUAAUCUUUUUGAAUUGCUGAUACUUGCAUGUGGUACAAAAUUUCAAAGAUACAAAUGUAUACAAAGCAUGACAACUCUCCCUCCCUCCUCUGUCCCCCAGUUACCUAAACCCAUCCCCAGAGGUUUCCUGUUUCUUUCCAAGGAUAUUCUAUGUUGUAUAUGUAAUUAUAUGUGUGUAUAUAUAUUUUCCUUUUGUCAUAACAGCAUGCUAUACACUCUUCUAGCAUUUUUUUUUUUUUUGAGAUGGAGUCUCACUCUGUUGCCCAGGCUAGGGUGCAGUGGCACAAUCUCAGCUCACUGCAAACUUCGCCUCCCAGGUUCAAGUGAUUCACCUGCCUCAGCCUCCUGAGCAGCUGGAAUUACAGGCGCCCACCACUGCACCUGGCUCAUUUUUGUAUUUUUAGUAGAGACGGGGUUUCACCCUGUUGGCCAGGCUGGUCUCGAAUUCCUGACCUCGUGAUCUACCCACCUUGGCCUCCCAAAGUGCUUGGAUUACCGGCAUGAGCCACCAUGCUCAGCCGCAUUUUUAAAAUUUAAUAUAUCCUGCUGAUUCUUCUAUAUCCACACAUGUGACCUGUCAUUCUUUUAUAUGCCUGCAUAGUGUUCCACUGGGUGGAUCCAUCACAGUUUUUUUGCUCAAUCCCAUAUUGAUGGACAGGUGGGUCAUUUCCUUAGUUAGUGAAACCUUUUGAAUGCUGCCAUUGUCUUAAAGACUUGGAAACCGAGCCUAGCAACUCUCAGUGAAUGAGUUGAAGAGUAGGGGCUUCUCUGGUCAAAACCCACAGCGCAUCAUUAAGUCUUUGGGCUUCCUCACUCCAGCUUUUAUUAAAUUAUCCCAAUUUGUCCUUUCAAAUAGAUGUCUUUUCUUAAGUAGUGAUUUACCACAAUUAAGCCCCCCCAAAAUUAAAUUAAGUGAAUUACGUCUCUUAGGUUGGGUGUCUGCGGGAACCAAGGUUGGGCACAGUAAUGGUCCAAAUGCUAUUAAAAGCAAAGGCAGGAGACUGUGCGCUGAGUUAGAAGGGAAAAUUCAUAGCUCCACUGAUACGCCAUGAUAAAUAAUUAUGAGUUAUUAAUUUUAAAUUACAUCUUUAAUGCGUUGCAUGAUUUUAAUUCCCCCUACAGUAUUAAUAUCGGACUGGCUUUGAUUAAUUUAAAGCAGAACAGAAAGGUGCCAAUUAAGAGAGCUAGCUGGGAACUUUGAGGUGUUUAUAUCUGUCUCUUGAUAGCCCCCACGGUGGGGGGCAAGGUCAUUCCUCAAGGGAAGCUGGCGAUUACCCACAGCAACCCAGGGUGGGAGGUGUCAAGAAGAGUGGGAGAUGGAUGUUAACCCUUUUUGUAUCUUCGAGUGCUAGAGAGGAAAGAGAGAAGGAUGGAAAAAUGAAAGACCUGGUCCAAGCCCCAAGGCCUUUAAUGAGCCAGGAGAUAGGUCAGGAUGGGGCUGGGCAUCCUGUGUGGCCUCGAGGCAGAAUCAGGGACCAGGACUCCUGGGUUCUGGGAUUCACUCUGUCACCUAGGACGAUGGCUUUGACCUGUCUAUGCUUUCAUGGGAUCUCAAGACUUGGACAAAAGGAGUAACGCUUGGUGAAUAUGAAGCAAUGAAUCAAAGAAUUUCCUAACCAGCUGAAUGGUAACAGGGUUAUGCUUGGAACAGCAGCCCACCUUAAGAAUGGGGCACACAUGGAGAUGUGUUUGGUUGACAUUUUAUUUUACAUAAUAGCUACAUAUUUAAUGCAUGCUAGAAAUAUAUAACCAGCUCCUUGAACCUCUGAUUUCAUAGAUACAAUUGCUUCAGUUG
Long non-coding RNA from Homo sapiens (human), 2230 nucleotides. Ensembl annotates it as long intergenic non-protein coding RNA 1234. Lineage: Eukaryota; Metazoa; Chordata; Mammalia; Primates; Hominidae. The record is from Ensembl.